Molecule: transfer RNA, 91 nt
Filed under: Enterobacterales bacterium
Lineage: Bacteria; Pseudomonadati; Pseudomonadota; Gammaproteobacteria; Enterobacterales
Description: tRNA-Ser
Rfam family: tRNA
About the family: Transfer RNA (tRNA) molecules are approximately 80 nucleotides in length.
Source: RNAcentral
GGAGAGAUGGCAGAGUGGUCGAAUGCACCGGUCUUGAAAACCGGCGCGGGUUUGUAGCCCGCCUAGGGUUCGAAUCCCUAUCUCUCCGCCA